Molecule: ribosomal RNA, 253 nt
Filed under: uncultured bacterium
Lineage: Bacteria
Description: partial 16S ribosomal RNA
Rfam family: Bacterial small subunit ribosomal RNA
Source: RNAcentral
UACGUAGGGUGCAAGCGUUAAUCGGAAUUACUGGGCGUAAAGCGUACGCAGGCGGCUAUGUAAGACAGGUGUGAAAUCCCCGGGCCUAACCUGGGAACUGCAUUUGUGACUGCAUAGCUAGAGUCCGUCAGAGGGGGGUGGAAUUCCACGUGUAGCAGUGAAAUGCGUAGAGAUGUGGAGGAACACCGAUGGCGAAGGCAGCGCCCUGGGAUGAGACUGACGCUCAUGUACGAAAGCGUGGGGAGCAAACAGG